UCCUAGUAGCGGCGAGCGAAGCGGGAAGAGCUCAAAUUUAUAAUCUGGCACCUUCGGUGUCCGAGUUGUAAUCUCUAGAAGUGUUUUCCGCGUUGGACCGCACACAAGUCUGUUGGAAUACAGCGGCAUAGUGGUGAAACCCCCGUAUAUGGUGCGGACGCCCAGCGCUUUGUGAUACACUUUCAAUGAGUCGAGUUGUUUGGGAAUGCAGCUCAAAUUGGGUGGUAAAUUCCAUCUAAAGCUAAAUAUUGGCGAGAGACCGAUAGCGAACAAGUACCGUGAGGGAAAGAUGAAAAGCACUUUGGAAAGAGAGUUAACAGUACGUGAAAUUGUUGGAAGGGAAACGCUUGAAGUCAGACUUGCUUGCCGGAGCUUGCUUCGGUUUGCAGGCCAGCAUCAGUUUUCCGGGGUGGAUAAUGACGGUUUGAAGGUAGCAGUCUCGGCUGUGUUAUAGCUUUCCGUUGGAUACAUCCUGGGGGACUGAGGAACGCAGCGUGCUUUUUGCGAAAGACUCGUCUUUUUCACGCUUAGGAUGCUGGUGGAAUGGCUUUAAACGACCCGUCUUGAAACACGGACCA
This 578-nucleotide ribosomal RNA is filed under the name Ustilentyloma graminis. Its description in RNAcentral is "eukaryotic LSU rRNA". It matches the Rfam family "Eukaryotic large subunit ribosomal RNA", at positions 78 to 668 of the family's 3401-position model. Lineage: Eukaryota; Fungi; Basidiomycota; Microbotryomycetes; Microbotryales; Ustilentylomataceae. The record is from RNAcentral.